CGCAUGGUGCUGACUAAAGCUCGUAGUUGGCUUCUGGCUGGUGCGGUUGUGCCCUCGUGCGGAAUCGUAGCGGUCGUCCGCUUGGGAAUUCCGGUCGAACUUCUUGUUCGGCGGAGGGGAGCUCCAUUUUACUUUGAUUACUUAGAGUGUUGAGGUGGCUAUCGCCGUGAAUACUCAUUAUGGAAUAAUGAAAUAGGACUACUUCCAUUUUAUUGGUUAUUGGAAUUAGUGAUGAUUAAAAUGAACAGUUGGGGGCAUUAGUAUUUAAUUGUCACAGGUGAAAUUCUUGGAUUUAUUAAAGACUAACUUAUGCUAAAGCAUUUGCCAUGGAUGUUUUCGUUUUUCUCGAACGAAAGUUAAGGGAUCGAAGACGAUCAGAAACCGACCCAGUCCUAACUAUAAACUAUACCUACUACGACUCGGCCGGGAUUUUGAAAGCCGGUCAGCACCUUCUCAGAAAUCAAAGUCUAAGGCUUCUGGGUCUGGGAUGGCCGCGAGGAUGAAGCUUAAACGGAUUGAACGAAGAGGACCUGCAGGAGUGGAGCCUGCGGUUGAGUUUGACGCUGCAUUGGGAAACUUACCAGGACAAGACCUAAAUGGGAUUGACAUAUUGAGAGCUCUUUCUUGAUCCUAUCUCUGGUGGUGCAUGGGCGGGCGCAGUCUGGGCAGUGAUAUGUCUGGGUAAGUCUGGUCACGAUCAAGACCUUAACCUGCUACAUCUCUGGCUUGUGAAAAAUCACUCUUGCUUCUGAGAGUGACUAUGCUUUCAAGCGCAAUUAAAGGUUGAUGCAAUAACAGGUCAAGGAUGCCCUUACAUGCCCUGGGCCCCACGCGCGCUACACUGACACCGGGCUACUACUACGUCCUGCUCCAGAAGGAUUCCGUUGAUCUUCAUAGCAAGUGUACUUGCUGAGAUACAUCGUUGUUAGGAUAGAUCAUCGUCGAUGAAGUACUUCCUACGCAUAAGUCCUCAGUCUGGCGGGGAUUUAGUCCCUGCCUGUUGUACGUCACCGCCCGUCGGUCACUACCGACCGAUUGGUAUAGCGAAUGUGUUCCGACUGCGAAUGCGUUCAGCUGCGGGGGAGGCUUAGUCAACCAUGUCACCUACAUG
RNAcentral lists this ribosomal RNA (1111 nucleotides) under uncultured eukaryote. RNAcentral's name for it is "bacterial SSU rRNA". It matches the Rfam family "Eukaryotic small subunit ribosomal RNA", at positions 604 to 1779 of the family's 1831-position model. The record is from RNAcentral.